CUCACUGCUCUGCACAUCAAGCUCCGUGCCACCGGUGGGAACAAGACAAAAACACCUGGUCCUGGGGCACAGUCUGCUCUCCGAGCACUUGCUCGUUCUGGAAUGAAAAUUGGACGUAUAGAGGAUGUCACUCCAAUUCCCAGUGAUAGCACUCGUAGGAAAGGUGGUAGAAGAGGUAGACGGCUGUGAGCUUUUGCUAUUCUUAUCCAGUCAGAGCUGUUUUUGUUCUUGCAAUGCAAUAGUUGUGUUUUCCAAUUGAAUUGCCGGACCUUGGAAAUUAGCCAAUUUUGAAACUAAUUUGUAGUUCCGGUCUCUAUGGGAUUCGCCAAAGAUUUAUUUUCAGCGCAUUUGGAAACAA
This is a long non-coding RNA of Alnus glutinosa, 358 nucleotides long. RefSeq lists it as uncharacterized. The record is from RefSeq and is a predicted model, not a curated record. NCBI's taxonomy places the organism in Eukaryota, Viridiplantae, Streptophyta, Magnoliopsida, Fagales, Betulaceae. The transcript has 2 exons.